UAGGGAAUAUUGCAAAAUGGGCGAAAGCCCGAUGCAGCAACGCCGCGUGGGCGAUGAAGGCCUUCGGGUCGUAAAGCCCUUUUUGAGGGGAUGAGGAAGGACAGUACCCUCAGAAUAAGCCCCGGCUAACUUCGUGCCAGCAGCCGCGGUAAUACGAAGGGGGCUAGCGUUGCUCGGAAUCACUGGGCGUAAAGGGUGCGUAGGCGGGUCUUUAAGUCAGGGGUGAAAUCCUGGAGCUCAACUCCAGAACUGCCUUUGAUACUGAGGAUCUUGAGUUCGGGAGAGGUGAGUGGAACUGAGGGUGUAGAGGUGAAAUUCGUAGAUAUUCGCAAGAACACCAGUGGCGAAGGCGGCUCACUGGCCCGAUACUGACGCUGAGGCACGAAAGCGUGGGGAGCAAAC
RNAcentral lists this ribosomal RNA (402 nucleotides) under uncultured bacterium. RNAcentral describes it as "bacterial SSU rRNA". It matches the Rfam family "Bacterial small subunit ribosomal RNA", at positions 355 to 773 of the family's 1533-position model. The record is from RNAcentral.